UGAUUAUCAAGAGUGGUGGAGGGACUGGCCCUAUGAAGCCCGACAACCGGCAUUCUCAUUCGAAUGUAGCGGUGUCAAUUCCUGCAGAAUAUUAUUUAUUCUGGAAGAUAAGAA
Molecule: non-coding RNA, 114 nt
Filed under: Clostridium magnum
Lineage: Bacteria; Bacillati; Bacillota; Clostridia; Eubacteriales; Clostridiaceae
Also listed under: 1 other name
Description: SAM-I sequence
Rfam family: SAM riboswitch aptamer (S box leader)
About the family: The SAM riboswitch is found upstream of a number of genes which code for proteins involved in methionine or cysteine biosynthesis in Gram-positive bacteria. The SAM riboswitch acts at the level of transcription termination control. The predicted structure consists of a complex stem-loop region followed by a single stem loop terminator region.
Source: RNAcentral